AGUGAACGCUGGCGGUAGGCCUAACACAUGCAAGUCGAACGGCAGCACAGUAAGAGCUUGCUCUUACGGGUGGCGAGUGGCGGACGGGUGAGGAAUACAUCGGAAUCUACUUUUUCGUGGGGGAUAACGUAGGGAAACUUACGCUAAUACCGCAUACUACCUACGGGUGAAAGCAGGGGUUCUUCGCACCUUGCGCGAUUGAAUGAGCCGAUGUCGGAUUAGCUAGUUGGCGGGGUAAAGGCCCACCAAGGCGACGAUCCGUAGCUGGUCUGAGAGGAUGAUCAGCCACACUGGAACUGAGACACGGUCCAGACUCCUACGGGAGGCAGCAGUGGGGAAUAUUGGACAAUGGGCGCAAGCCUGAUCCAGCAAUACCGCGUGGGUGAAGAAGGCCUUCGGGUUGUAAAGCCCUUUUGUUGGGAAAGAAAAGCAGCAGGUUAAUACCCCGCUGUUCUGACGGUACCCAAAGAAUAAGCACCGGCUAACUUCGUG
Molecule: ribosomal RNA, 492 nt
Filed under: uncultured bacterium
Lineage: Bacteria
Description: partial 16S ribosomal RNA
Rfam family: Bacterial small subunit ribosomal RNA
Source: RNAcentral